This 407-nucleotide ribosomal RNA is filed under the name uncultured bacterium. RNAcentral describes it as "partial 16S ribosomal RNA". It matches the Rfam family "Bacterial small subunit ribosomal RNA", at positions 30 to 526 of the family's 1533-position model. The record is from RNAcentral.
AUUGAACGCUGGCGGCAGGCCUAACACAUGCAAGUCGAGCGGAGCGGCGGACGGGUGAGUAAUGCAUAGGAAUCUGCCUGGUAGUGGGGGAUAACGUCCGGAAACGGGCGCUAAUACCGCAUACUAUCAGAUGAGCCUAGGUCGGAUGAGCUAGUUGGUGGGGUAAAGGCCUACAAAGGAGACGCACCGUAACUGGUCUGAGAGGAUGAUCAGUCAAACUGGAACUGAGACACGGUCCAGACGCCUACUGGAGGCAGCGGUGGGGAAUAUUGGACAAUGGGCGUAAGCCUGAGCCAGCCAUGCCGCGUGUGUGAAGAAGGUCUUCGGAUUGUAAAGCACUUUAAGUUGGUAGGCGUUACCAACAGAAUAAGCACCGGCUAACUUCGUGCCAGCAGCCGCGGUAAUUC